AGUGAACGCUGGCGGUAGGCCUAACACAUGCAAGUCGAACGGCAGCACAGUAAGAGCUUGCUCUUACGGGUGGCGAGUGGCGGACGGGUGAGGAAUACAUCGGAAUCUACUUUUUCGUGGGGGAUAACGUAGGGAAACUUACGCUAAUACCGCAUACGACCUACGGGUGAAAGCAGGGGAUCUUCGGACCUUGCGCGAUUGAAUGAGCCGAUGUCGGAUUAGCUAGUUGGCGGGGUAAAGGCCCACCAAGGCGACGAUCCGUAGCUGGUCUGAGAGGAUGAACGGCCUGACUGGAACUGUGACACGGUCCAUACUCUUACGUGAGGCAGCAGUGGGGAAUCUUGGACAUUGGGCGCAAGCCUGAUCCAGCCAUACCGCGUGGGUGAAGAAGGCCUUCGGGUUGUAAAGCCCUUUUGUUGGGAAAGAAAAGCAUCAGGUUAAUACCCCGCUGUUCUGACGGUACCCAAAGAAUAAGCACCGGCUAACUUCGUG
This 492-nucleotide ribosomal RNA is filed under the name uncultured bacterium. RNAcentral describes it as "partial 16S ribosomal RNA". It matches the Rfam family "Bacterial small subunit ribosomal RNA", at positions 29 to 507 of the family's 1533-position model. The record is from RNAcentral.